This 610-nucleotide long non-coding RNA is filed under the name Bos taurus (domestic cattle). RNAcentral describes it as "long non-coding RNA NONBTAT013994". The record is from RNAcentral. Lineage: Eukaryota; Metazoa; Chordata; Mammalia; Artiodactyla; Bovidae.
UUCUUACCGAUUCUUUAUUGAAAGCUCCUAGGGAAGCCGCAUGAAGUCCAUGUGAAUGCAAGUGUCUGAAUAGGCUGAUGUGACACAUGAGGCCCCUUGGCUUCUUAGUUCACCUGGUAACAGCUAAGUGUAAGGAUUUGCUCCCAUUUCACAGACAGCCACACUGAGACCCCGGGAGAAGCACAGACUGGCAGAGUUGAGGGCCACACUGAGUCCUUCUGUCUCUAAGACCCUGGUUCUCCCUGCAGUUCUGCCUUCAACCUUGCAACCUAUCAGGCACCCUCCCCAGACCCUGGGACAUAAAUUGCUUCUUUGAUUUAAACUACACAGUGACAACUCCUCUCAAGCCUUGCCUUUCUUUGGGGAUCAUAUCAAGCCCAUGAUUCAACAUGCGUUUGUGAGGUAUUUUGUCCUUCUCCCUCACGUGUUUAAACUCCCUGAGACUCUAUCCUCAGCUUCCCCUGCUGCCUUUCUUGCACACAGCACAGGGUCUCCAGCGGUGUGCACUGAGCAGUCAAGGGAAAGAGUCGGUCUCUAUUGCUGCAGCUUUGUACUAGACAGACUUGACCUGCCUUCGCAUCUGACAAGCAUUUUACUGAGCUGAGUGCAU